GGGAGAACGGGCACCCCUGUCUGGAGCCAUUAGAGAUUGAGAACGGUUUAGAAAUAAAUCCCCCGUUCAAUACUUUUGCAGUUGGGGAUGAGUAGAGUGCCUCAACGAGGGCCAGAAACUAGGGUGGAAAUUCAAAUUUUCGAAGAACUGCUGACAGAAAGGGCCAGUUCAGCCUAUCAAAGGACUUUUCCGCAUCCAAGGAUAACCGGAUGCUUGGGGCCUUCCUCUCUUUCAUCCCAUAGAGCAAGUUUAGGAUCUUUCGUGUACCAUCUGCCCAUUGUCUACCACCUACAAACCCCACUUGAUCAUCCUUAAUGAGUGUUGGUAUGAUAGGUGCCAGUCUGUUGGAGAAGAUUUUGGCUAUGAGCUUGACAUCUGUAUUCAGCAGAGAUAUGGGUCGUAGGUUUUGGCUUCUGUUUGGCUUUCCCGGUUUGGG
Non-coding RNA from Pelobates cultripes (western spadefoot toad), 436 nucleotides. The record is from the annotation of a GenBank genome assembly. Lineage: Eukaryota; Metazoa; Chordata; Amphibia; Anura; Pelobatidae.